GCUAAGAAUCUUCCGCAAUGGGGGCAACCCUGACGGAGCGACGCCGCGUGGACGAAGAAGGCCGCAAGGUUGUAAAGUCCUUUUGCAGGCGAAGAAUAAGGCGAGGAGUGGAAAGCCUGGCUGAUGACGUUAGCCUGCGAAUAAGCCCCGGCCAAUUACGUGCCAGCAGCCGCGGUAACACGUAUGGGGCGAGCGUUGUUCGGAAUUACUGGGCAUAAAGGGCGUGUAGGCGGUUCGGUAAGCCUGGCGUGAAAGGUACCGGCCUAACCGGUAGACGGCGCUGGGAACUGGCGGACUGGAGUUUUGGAGGGGGAGCUGGAAUUCCUGGUGUAGGGGUGAAAUCUGUAGAGAUCAGGAAGAACACCGGUGGCGAAGGCGAGCUCCUGGCCAAUGACUGACGCUGAGGCGCGAAAGCGUGGGGAGCAAACAGGAUUAGAAACCCUGGUAGUCC
Molecule: ribosomal RNA, 451 nt
Filed under: uncultured bacterium
Lineage: Bacteria
Description: bacterial SSU rRNA
Rfam family: Bacterial small subunit ribosomal RNA
Source: RNAcentral